Molecule: unclassified non-coding RNA, 302 nt
Filed under: Hevea brasiliensis (rubber tree)
Lineage: Eukaryota; Viridiplantae; Streptophyta; Magnoliopsida; Malpighiales; Euphorbiaceae
Source: RNAcentral
CUUCUGUACACGGCCAUGCCCUCAAGCACCGUCUCUUCCAGACCACUGGAAUUCCCCCAAACCACCAGCGUCUUGUAACUGGUAUCCGCCAGAUCGAGGAUGAUUCGGUUGUAUCAUGUUCCGGUGGAAGAUUUCCCACUGUCUAUCUUCUGCUCCGGCUCCUGGGAGGCAAGGGAGGGUUUGGAUCGUUGUUGCGUGGGGCGGCGACGAAAGCGGGGCAAAAGAAGACGAAUAAUUUCGAUGCUUGUAGGGAUAUGAGUGGGAGAAGGUUGAGGCAUGUGAAUGCUGAGAAGCGAUUGGAG